RNAcentral lists this ribosomal RNA (458 nucleotides) under uncultured bacterium. RNAcentral describes it as "partial 16S ribosomal RNA". It matches the Rfam family "Bacterial small subunit ribosomal RNA", at positions 338 to 795 of the family's 1533-position model. The record is from RNAcentral.
CCUACGGGAGGCAGCAGUGAGGAAUAUUGGUCAAUGGGCGAGAGCCUGAACCAGCCAAGUCGCGUGAGGGAGUACUGCCCUAUGGGUUGUAAACCUCUUUUGUCGGGGAGCAAAAGCCGGACGUGUCCGGCUGUGAGAGUACCCGAAGAAAAAGAAUCGGCUAACUCCGUGCCAGCAGCCGCGGUAAUACGGAGGAGGCGAGCGUUAUCCGGAUUUAUUGGGUUUAAAGGGUGAGCAGGCGGAUUGUUAAGUCAGCGGUAAAAUCGUGGGGCUCAACCCCAUCCAGCAGUUGAAACUGGGGAUCUAGAGUGCGCGAGAGAUAUGCGGAAUGCGUGGUGUAGCGGUGAAAUGCGUAGAUAUCACGCAGAACCCCGAUUGCGAAGGCAGCAUACCGGUGCACAACUGACGCUCAGGCACGAAAGCGUGGGUAUCGAACAGGAUUAGAUACCCUGGUAGUC